GUAGGGCGCAAGCGUUGUCCGGAUUUAUUGGGCGUAAAGAGCUCGUAGGCGGCCUGUCGCGUCGACUGUGAAAACCCGCGGCUUAACUGCGGGACUGCAGUCGAUACGGGCAGGCUAGAGUUCGGUAGGGGAGACUGGAAUUCCUGGUGUAGCGGUGAAAUGCGCAGAUAUCAGGAGGAACACCGGUGGCGAAGGCGGGUCUCUGGGCCGAUACUGACGCUGAGGAGCGAAAGCGUGGGGAGCGAACAGGAUUAGAUACCCUGGUAGUCCACGCUGUAAACGUUGGGCGCUAGGUGUGGGGGGCCUCUCCGGUCCUCUGUGCCGCAGCUAACGCAUUAAGCGCCCCGCCUGGGGAGUACGGCCGCAAGGCUAAA
Molecule: ribosomal RNA, 374 nt
Filed under: uncultured bacterium
Lineage: Bacteria
Description: bacterial SSU rRNA
Rfam family: Bacterial small subunit ribosomal RNA
Source: RNAcentral